RNAcentral lists this long non-coding RNA (1031 nucleotides) under Olea europaea subsp. europaea. Lineage: Eukaryota; Viridiplantae; Streptophyta; Magnoliopsida; Lamiales; Oleaceae. The record is from RNAcentral.
CUAACUAUGCCCAAUUCAAAAUCUAGGUUACAAGUUUCUUUAGUGCAAAAAUCAAGUUUUAGCUAAUUAAUUAAAAAUAUUUAUUAAAUAAUGAUAAUAAAAACACAAUUAUACUAUUCAUAAUCACAUAUUCACAAUUAUAGGUCACAGAUUUUAUUUAUCAGUCACAUAUCAUCAAAUUAAUUAGUUAUAGAUUUUUUCGAGGUCACAAAUCACAAUUUUGAUAAGUUACAGAUUAUGUCGAGGUCAUAGAUGAAAAAAUUAUAGGUCACAAAUCCAAAAAAUUAUAGUCACAGGUCACAUAUUUUCAAAUUUGAUAGUCACAUAUUACUUUUUUUAGUCAUAGAUGAUCGAAUUUUAAGGCCACGGGUCAAAUAGCCGAUCACCACCAACUCCACUGCCACCAUCGUCACUUGCAACCACCAUCACCCCGUCACCGUCGCCACUGCCAACACCAACACCAACAUUAACAAAAUUGACGCAACCAGAUCCACCGCCACCACCAAACACACAAAAAAAAACGACCAUCGCCACCUCCAGAUCCACCACCAACACUAUCGCCACCAAAAAUACGAACAUCACCACACUGCACCACACCACAACACCCACAUAGCACCAACAAAAUCGGCUUCCACAAACAUAGAACUCACAUCACACGCCAUCAACACAAACUGGCUUCCACUCACACCGCACCAACAAACCGACUUUUACACACUUCUGCGCAUCGAGCCACUGUUGCAUCACCGUUGACUAGCUAGUCGCAUAGCGCAGCCACGAUGGCGCCGCUGUGAGCGUAGACUCCGCGGCGCUCAGAUCAACGAGUGACGACUUCGAUCGGCCAAAUUGCUCACAACACUGUCUGCGAGGGCGCCGCACCGCAGCAACUAUGCCGUCGCUCAACUCUCACGUCUCUGACGACGAUGCUUUUCAAUGAUGAUGAAGGUUUGAGGGAGAGAGAGUGUAGAGAUAGAGAGGGAGAGGGAGAGGGAGAGGGAGAGGGAGAGAGGGAGACGGUGGAGAGAGAGAUAGAG